This 506-nucleotide ribosomal RNA is filed under the name uncultured bacterium. Its description in RNAcentral is "partial 16S ribosomal RNA". It matches the Rfam family "Bacterial small subunit ribosomal RNA", at positions 29 to 523 of the family's 1533-position model. The record is from RNAcentral.
AGUGAACGCUGGCGGUAGGCCUAACACAUGCAAGUCGAACGGCAGCACAGGAGAGCUAGCUCUCUGGGUGGCGAGUGGCGGACGGGUGAGGAAUACAUCGGAAUCUACUCUGUCGUGGGGGAUAACGUACGGAAACCUACGCUAAUACCGCAUACGACCUACGGGUGAAAGCAGGGGACCUUCGGGCCUUGCGCGAUUGAAUGAGCCGAUGUCGGAUUAGCUAGUUGGCUGGGUAAAGGCCCACCAAGGCGACGAUCCGUAGCUGGUCUGAGAGGAUGAUCAGCCACACUGGAACUGAGACACAGUCCAGACUCCUACGGGAGGCAGCAGUGGGGAAUAUUGGACAAUGGGCGCAAGCCUGAUCCAGCCAUACCGCGUGGGUGAAGAAGGCCUUCGGGUUGUAAAGCCCUUUUGUUGGGAAAGAAAUCCAGCUGGCUAAUACCCGGUUGGGAUGACGGUACCCAAAGAAUAAGCACCGGCUAACUUCGUGCCAGCCGCCGCCGUAA